GCGUUGAAAAUUGUGCGAAGGUAGUAACGUUUAAUCUUUUCUUCAGUUUUGCUUCUCAAAGCUAUAGAAGUUUCCCUUUGGUGGAUGCAAAAACGCGAGAAAGUUACGACGAUCUCAAAGGGAAUCCAUGAGACAUGAACGAGGAGAAAGGGAACGAGAUUCGUCAUCCCAGGAUCGUUUACCACGAUAAUAUAAUCGUUGGGUUAGAGAGUAUACCUAAGUAUAAUUAACGUUGACAUAGUCAAAAGAUCAUAUGCAGCCGAGUUAUACUGCAACGUGACGAUGACUUUGUCAAUAAAUUUUCUUCUUCGCGUUGAAGGGGAGAAGUCGGAGGGCGGUAAGAGAAGAAGGAAGAGAGGGAAAAUGUGUCUUCGAUCGAAUAUCACGUAAUAUGAUAUUUUGUUAAAAUAAAACCCCGAUCGAUCGAUAAAUGCAAAAAAAAAAAAA
Long non-coding RNA from Polistes dominula (European paper wasp), 447 nucleotides. Lineage: Eukaryota; Metazoa; Arthropoda; Insecta; Hymenoptera; Vespidae. The record is from RefSeq and is a predicted model, not a curated record.